This 472-nucleotide ribosomal RNA is filed under the name uncultured bacterium. RNAcentral describes it as "bacterial SSU rRNA". It matches the Rfam family "Bacterial small subunit ribosomal RNA", at positions 355 to 825 of the family's 1533-position model. The record is from RNAcentral.
UGGGGAAUUUUGGACAAUGGGCGCAAGCCUGAUCCAGCCAUACCGCGUGAGUGAAGAAGGCCUUCGGGUUGUAAAGCUCUUUCAGACGGAAAGAAACGGUUACGGCUAAUACCCGUGACUAAUGACGGUACCGUAAGAAGAAGCACCGGCUAACUACGUGCCAGCAGCCGCGGUAAUACGUAGGGUGCGAGCGUUAAUCGGAAUUACUGGGCGUAAAGCGUGCGCAGGCGGUUUUGUAAGUCUGAUGUGAAAUCCCCGGGCUCAACCUGGGAAUUGCAUUGGAGACUGCAAGGCUAGAAUCUGGCAGAGGGGGGUAGAAUUCCACGUGUAGCAGUGAAAUGCGUAGAUAUGUGGAGGAACACCGAUGGCGAAGGCAGCCCCCUGGGUCAAGAUUGACGCUCAUGCACGAAAGCGUGGGGAGCAAACAGGAUUAGAUACCCAGGUAGUCCCUGAGCGGGCUGGCAAGGCGCAU